CCUACGGGAGACAGCAGUGAGGAAUAUUGGUCAAUGGGCUUACGCCUGAACCAGCCAAGUCGCGUGAGGGAAGACUGCCCUAUGGGUUGUAAACCUCUUUUGUCAGGGAGCAACUGGCGCUACGUGUAGCGCUAUCGAGAGUACCUGAAGAAAAAGCAUCGGCUAACUCCGUGCCAGCAGCCGCGGUAAUACGGAGGAUGCGAGCGUUAUCCGGAUUUAUUGGGUUUAAAGGGUGCGCAGGCGGCCUGUUAAGUCAGCGGUAAAAGCGCGGGGCUCAACCCCGGCCAGCCGUUGAAACUGGCGGGCUGGAGUUGGAGAGAAGUACGCGGAAUGCGCGGUGUAGCGGUGAAAUGCUUAGAUAUCGCGCAGAACCCCGAUUGCGAAGGCAGCGUGCCGGCUCCACACUGACGCUGAGGCACGAAAGCGUGGGUAUCGAACAGGAUUAGAUACCCUGGUAGUC
RNAcentral lists this ribosomal RNA (460 nucleotides) under uncultured bacterium. Its description in RNAcentral is "partial 16S ribosomal RNA". It matches the Rfam family "Bacterial small subunit ribosomal RNA", at positions 338 to 795 of the family's 1533-position model. The record is from RNAcentral.